AACGCUGGCGGCGUGCCUAAUACAUGCAAGUCGAACGGUCUUUCUAUGGAAGCUUGCUUCCACUGAGAAGAUAGUGGCGAACGGGUGAGUAGCACGUGGGUAACCUGCCCAUAAGAGGGGGAUAACAUCCGGAAACGGGUGCUAAUACCGCAUAGUUUUCUUGAUCGCAUGAUUGAGAAAGGAAAGACGGCCUUUGUGCUGUCGCUUAUGGAUGGACCCGCGGCGUAUUAGUUAGUUGGUGAGGUAACGGCUCACCAAGACGAUGAUACGUAGCCGACCUGAGAGGGUGAUCGGCCACAUUGGGACUGAGACACGGCCCAAACUCCUACGGGAGGCAGCAGUAGGGAAUCUUCCGCAAUGGACGAAAGUCUGACGGAGCAACGCCGCGUGAGUGAAGAAAAGGUUUUCGGAUCGUAAAACUCUGUUGUCAGAGAAGAACAAGUUGGAGAGUAACUGCUCCAGCCUUGACGGUAUCUGACCAGAAAGCCACGGCUAACUACGUGCCAGCCGCCGC
RNAcentral lists this ribosomal RNA (514 nucleotides) under uncultured bacterium. Its description in RNAcentral is "bacterial SSU rRNA". It matches the Rfam family "Bacterial small subunit ribosomal RNA", at positions 32 to 518 of the family's 1533-position model. The record is from RNAcentral.